CUGAUAUGAAGAGCUUGCUCGGAUUUGAAGAUGAACAUUGCAAAGAGUGGCGAACGGGUGAGUAACACGUGGGAAACCUACCUCUUAGCGGGGGAUAACACUUGGAAACAAGUGCUAAUACCGCAUAAUACUGAUAACCGCAUGGUUAUCAGUUGAAAGAUGGUUCUGCUAUCACUAAGAGAUGGUCCCGCGGUGUAUUAGCUAGUUGGUAAGGUAAUGGCUUACCAAGGCAAUGAUACAUAGCCGAGUUGAGAGACUGAUCGGCCACAAUGGGACUGAGACACGGCCCAUACUCCUACGGGAGGCAGCAGUAGGGAAUCUUCCACAAUGGACGAAAGUCUGAUGGAGCAACGCCGCGUGUGUGAUGAAGGGUUUCGGCUCGUAAAACACUGUUGUAAGAGAAGAAUGACAUUGAGAGUAACUGUUCAGUGUGUGACGGUAUCUUACCAGAAAGGAACGGCUAAAUACGUGCCAGCAGCCGCGGUAAUACGUAUGUUCCAAGCGUUAUCCGGAUUUAUUGGGCGUAAAGCGAGCGCAGACGGUUGUUUAAGUCUGAAGUGAAAGCCCACAGCUUAACUGUGGAAGUGCUUUGGAAACUGGAUAACUUGAGUGCAGUAGAGGAGAGUGG
Molecule: ribosomal RNA, 628 nt
Filed under: Weissella minor
Lineage: Bacteria; Bacillati; Bacillota; Bacilli; Lactobacillales; Lactobacillaceae
Description: bacterial SSU rRNA
Rfam family: Bacterial small subunit ribosomal RNA
Source: RNAcentral